GCUAGAAUAGCUCAGUUGGUUAGAGCAUGUUGCUGUUAACCACAGGUCGGAGGUUCAAACCCUCUUUCUAGCA
Molecule: transfer RNA, 73 nt
Filed under: Sphenostylis stenocarpa
Lineage: Eukaryota; Viridiplantae; Streptophyta; Magnoliopsida; Fabales; Fabaceae
Description: tRNA gene-AYBTSS11_LOCUS21735
Rfam family: tRNA
About the family: Transfer RNA (tRNA) molecules are approximately 80 nucleotides in length. Their secondary structure includes four short double-helical elements and three loops (D, anti-codon, and T loops).
Source: RNAcentral